GUCGGGUUCGGGAUGAAAUGGUUCACGACGCCGCCCAUGACGGCGAAGGUGCGCUUGCCCUCGGUGAGCAUCUGCACACCGCGGCGCUUGAAUUCCUU
RNAcentral lists this small RNA (98 nucleotides) under Mycolicibacterium chubuense NBB4. RNAcentral describes it as "Mycobacterium chubuense NBB4 Mycobacterium sRNA Ms_AS-1". It matches the Rfam family "Mycobacterium sRNA Ms_AS-1". Lineage: Bacteria; Bacillati; Actinomycetota; Actinomycetes; Mycobacteriales; Mycobacteriaceae. The record is from Rfam by way of RNAcentral.